GCCCCGCCCCGCGGCUGAGGGGCCGCCCGCGGCUGCAUUGCCCGCUGCGUUCUUUUCGACCUUUUCCCUUUUCCAUUUUUCUUCCCUUCCCUUUCCUUUCCUUCCCUUCUUCCUGAUUAGACAAAUCACCGGACCUGCAGAGAGGUGAAAGACAUGUAAAGACAUAGUCCAGGAACUCAAAAAUGUGCCAAAGGCUUCUAGCAAAAAAAGGAGGAGUUGAGUAUUCAACAUGAGACAGAUUGCUACCAUCCUUCUGGAAAAAGACGAAGGGACAAAAUGUUACAGCGAUGCUAAGCAAUAGGGUGACAUGUUGGAAGUACCCACAUGGUGUAAUCCUAGUGAAGACAGCAGCUUUGCCUGGAUCCCUGGGGCAUGGUGCUCAUCCCUCAGUACACAUGAGUGCAUGAAGCCCCUUACUGGUUGCCAUCCUGAGAAUCUGCUAAUUCAAUUUCUCAGCGACUUCCAGCAUUCUCUGAUCCUUGUGAUACUUGGAGAACUUCAGGAAACAAGAUGAUUCCAGGAGAGUUCUGUAAAUGUAAUUUCUACAGGAAUAACAACACCGCCUACUUGGUAUAAUCUAAUAAUGUUUGCCAGUUCCAGGUAGCAAAUAUCUCAUUAGAAUCAAACAGAACACAGUCAAGUAAGUCCUUCCUUUGCUUUAAACACAGACAACAGCAACAUCAGUUAUCCCACAUGCUGCUGAUAAAAAUGGGGUGGUUUGUUUUUACUGAAACCCUCCCUGUUGGUUUCCUGUGUGGCCAUGGGCAAGGCAGACACAGGGGCUGUGUGUCACUUCUGCUUCAGUGGAAUGAAAUGAGCUCUGCUACCAACUUAUCAGGAGACAGUAAUUUAUUGCACAAGCCAAGAAUUAUUCCUCAAAGAAGUGUAGACGAUAAAUCCUCUCAAGCUGUUCUAUGAGUGGCAGAACCAGGAUCUGUAAUGUCACAGGAGGUUCAAUGUCUGCACCACAAGCACAAUUACAUAAUGAUGCAUCACCCACAGCAUCUACUGCUGGGCAUUUGUCAACAAGGACGAGAGACAUAUGCUUAGAGGGAUCAAUGUUCCUGUUAACACAUUGCAUCAGAGGGAUGAGCAGACACCCCCAUGGAAAUGGAUCCCAGGAGCAGGCUGCAGUCCUGAGAUAAGUAAGUGAGCUUUCUCAUCAUUUGAGGCUUAAGUGGUGAGCCAUUACUCAGCUAAAAAUCCAGAUGGAAUGUUGUCAGCAGAGUUCUUACCCAGCUCUGGGACAACAGCUUUGCAACAAUGCAGAUGUCUUCCUGGCAAGAAGGACACCCCACCUUUGAUGUUUAACUACCAGCAGCCACUGCACAAGGCAGGAAGGGAGUAAGCAAAUCCCAGUGCAGAGACUUUGCAUAGAGAGAACGUGUAUUUUACAUAUGCAUAAUGGGGGUUUAUAAACCUGGAGCAGAAAACAGAAAUGUUGCAUUGAGAAGGUAAGAGCAUAAAGAAAGAAUUUGCCAUCUAGCUGCUAAUAAAAUUCUAAGCUUCACAGACGUUUGGGCCAAAGCCCAUGAAUUAUUUAGUCUUGUUACCUGCAUAAUGUAGGUCACAACCUCCCUGUGUAAUUAGGCUAAACAGUACCUACUUCUAUUUCAGCUCUGUAAUAAAACAUUUAAGGCAACAGUUCUGAUUUCAGGACUUGAAGGAUGGAGAGCUGAAAACAUGCCCAAACUGGGGCUUUCCCUCCCUUCCUCAUUCUGAGCUCAGCUCAUUAUAUUCUGCAUAGAACUGCUGCCUCCUCAGCCAUUUUUUUUCCCCAGCCUGGAGUCCAGCAGACUGACAGCACUUGCUGAGUUCUCGUACAUAGCAAAGUGGUAUUUUACUUAACCCUUGGAAAAGCUAAGCAGACAAGACUUCCUUCUUUCUGUAAGAUUUUCCAGAUUAACUUUGUAGCUUUAAUUGUCUCUGCCUGGGGUCUUUUAGGGGUUGUGUUGGUAAAGCUUCAGUUCAUGUGUGUAAGGCUUAUUCAAUGAUUAAUGCUAAAAAUCAAUCUUGACCUAGAUCCUCCUCUCAGCACAACAGAGAGACUUGGGUAAGGGCCUCACAGGAGUGUGCGUUAGUGCUGCUUGUUCUGAACUUUAGGGAUCCGUUGUGGUACAAACAUGGAACAUCAAACUGCAUCUUGUGAGUAUGCAGGAAGGGCUGGAGUAAGAAAACCCAUCAGUUACUGCCUUUAGUGACAGUGGAAUCAACUCUUAAUAUUGGAAUAAACAGAAGUGGGAGAAAAAUUUUUUUACCGAAAUUAAUCCAGUGCUACCUAAGCAACAUUGCUUCAGCAAAUAUUACUGGAGGCCUGUGGGCAAUUAACAGAGCUUAGUUUUAAGACUCUAUUAAAUAUUAAAUAUUAUUCACAUCUGGUUUUUGUCAUCAGCUUUGGAUAAGGAAUCUCCUGAAAAAGCAACCCCACCCACCUUAUAGGAUACAAGGUUCAGCUCUGAAGGCUCUUAAAAUUGCUUGUCCACAAGGUCCUGUAAAUUAUUUGGCCAUGGUGUAACAGAGCAGAGCAUUGCACAUAAAAUGUUCCACUGGUUUUGCCAGCUGCAAGAAAGUCUUUAGUCAGAGCAGUGGCAAAAAAAACAAAAAAAACCAAAAGAAAACAAAACCAAACCCAAAACCAAAAAGCAAACCAAACCAUCAGUUUUGUUCUAACAGAUUCUAAGUUUGGCAUUUUCGGUGCAGGAAAAUUACUGUCUUAUCCAGUGAAGGAAGCUUUUUCUCCUCUCUUUUUGUCAGGCAUCUUUCAGGAUGCCUGACAUCUUGUGCACUUCCACACAGAGGUGCAGGACAGCCCCUAUCUAACAGCUCUGGGUUUGUCCCCUUCCAAUCCUUGCUGAUGAGGAAGACCCAGUGUGUCUGCCUAAGAGAAUGGCAGAGAGAAGGGAACACAAGAACAGUAUCAGAAGCAUCUUCAGUGUUGCCAAAAGCACAGGAGUAGAAAAUCCAACAGUUUCACUUUGGGGGAAAACACUGCCAGGUUCAUCCCUUCUGUAUUGCCUUGCCACUUAGAGUAAAUAUUCAAUGUAUGGUCUCACUAAUGUUGCAGAGGGAAAUCCUACUACCCUCUACUCCUACUUGGUCUAUCUGCUCAAAGGGUCAAAUCUUCCCUUUAAUUUACUUCUAUGUAUUUACAGCAGAAAUGCCCAUGCAGCCCUCAGUUGCCAGAAUUCCUCAACACUUGUGUUUUCUGGAAAACAUCUGUUCCUAGUGGCUAGAUGAUCUUCCUUUUGCUCAGCAUCAAACAUACCCUGCAUUAAGUGACUCGGACCAUUCAGCAACUUGUCCUCACUAAUAAAAAGUGGUUUAUUUAAUAUAAUUUAUGAAAAUAUUGUACACAGUUGAACAGAUCUGCAGAAUUAUACUAGCUAACUACAAAUGAAAAAAUCUCCUCUUCAAAAAUAAUUCAGUAUAAAUUGACCUUUUCGUUUUUCUCCUUCAGGUUCUCAAGUGAGAUUACAAAACACCAACUCUAUUGUGGCAUAUAAUAAUGAGCCACAUUUGCAAUCUGAUUUAGCCUUGUUGUUUUAUUGAGAAAGACCAGUAUUGCUUUUUCCCAAAGCCACACAGAAGAGCUCUACUGAGGUUACCUUAUAAUUUACUCUUUGUAUAUACCCAGAGUUUGAUCUUAUUGAUCCCUUUUACAACAUCCACUUUUUUGGAACUUCCAGUUUCCCAAAGUAAACUUAAAAAUCUCCAUGCUUGCCACCUUUCAUCCAGUACCUAUCUGUUCUUACCAGCCUUUAAUACUUACACAAUAAUGCCAAUUACAGCAAACUUGAUGAUUUAUUUUUAAGAAAAAAUAUUGGCAGCCUUUAUUCAGCUGCACCAGAUCCCAGCACUAGCUGCUCUGAAAUUCCUGAUGCACCACUUCUACAAACCCAUGGGGAUGUCCUAAGUAAAACCUGGUACAAAACCAGAUUGACAUUAGAAAGGACAAUCGACCCAAGAGAGCCCAAGGACAUAAGGGAAGUUCAAGUUAACAGAUUCUAGCUAUAGAAAGGUACUGACCAGAAAACCUCUUUUUUCUCUCUCAGGAGAUACCUAUUCUUUGCCUUUGAGAUCAAAGUAACUGCAGCAUGUAACACCUGACCACCUCAGGCGCCUGGUUUUUUACCUGUAGCCUUACAUUGUUUUUCACAGGAUGACUUUUUUUUGUUAAAUCAAGACAAAAACGGGGGUUUUUGUAAACCAGAGUAAGCACACAUGACAUUCAUAUACCUUUUUUAUUUCAAGUUUCAGCUGAAAGUAGUUGUCCUUAAAAAUCAAGAGCAUCCUUUCAGAAAAGCUGAGUUACGAGACCAGCAAAAAAGACAAGAGUCCUGAGAGAUAAAAAUUUAUUUAUCUGAUCAGCAUGUCAUGAUAUGGUCACAACUCAUACAGCUGACAUUCUUAUAGCCAAGAGGGAUGUUUUUCUUUUUAAAAAUACAUUUUUCUUUCCAGCAGGAAGGAUUUUUUAAAAACAAACAUUUCAUACUAGGCAGGAAUUAAAAACAAUGGCUUUUUCAAUAUGACAACACAGCUGGUAAGCACUGGAUACCCCACCAGUGUCUUAAUAUUCAGAUUUUGAGUUUUCCCUCCCGCUCCCCAAUUCCCCCACCCCACACAGAAAAACACCACACAGAAAAACAGGACAAAACCCAGAUGGGAAACAAAGAGGUAGACAUCACUACAACUAUGGCGCUGUUUUGGAAAUUGUGCGAGAUGUCUCACAAUGCUCCAAGGAGUUCCUUUUCCCUUUGUUAGACACUGCAGAACUGGGCCCCAGCAGUGAACUCAAGAGGGGACAGGAGCCAAGAGCCAUCGCCACCAAGAGGUGCCAGGGCUGCAGAAUGGGUGGGGCUGUCCCACCUGGCAUUGCUCUGACCAGCUGGGGUGGCUUAAAAACAGAUCCCUCUUUAAAACUAUGGAUCUCACAAUGACAACAGCCUUUCUCCCAACAAGGCUGGAGUCACAUCCUUCUAGCAGGCAAACCAGGGUCAAGGGGGCUUGGGUUCUGCUCUUGGACACCCUCAGCUCUCAGAAACUUUAAGAAGACUCAUGGCUACAGUGACUUGCAGAAGAACUCCGCAGCUGGGGACUGGCACAGCUUCCAGCGGGUGCUGCAGCGAGUGAGGGCUGCAGAAGCUGCUGUCCCCUCUCUCCCCUACUGAUCCACUCCUUCUCUUGCCACUUCUGGCACUGAAACAUUUGUCCCUGUGUCCCUCCUCAUAAACAGUGUUAUCUAUCACAAAUUAACACUGCGGCUGUACAGUGAACCAAAGAGUUAUUUUACUAUUUGUUGUGUUUAUGGUAAGCACAGUAAAGGUUGUGUAUCCACUAGUUAAAAGCACAAUAAAUACAACCAUCAAAUAAAAUCUUCUCAUCUAUUAAGGAUCAGAAGCAUAUUAAAUAGUCUUGAAAGAAAACUCUUUUUGCCACAGGGGGGGAAAAAAAAAAACACCACCAAAAAACCAACAAAAAACCCCAAACAAAACAAAACAAAAAAUCCAAAACAAACAAACAAACAAAAAAACCCAGCCCAGGGAAAAUAAAGAGAAAUGCUGCUUCUGGUAUCUGUCUACAUUUCUGAAAGUCAUAUUAGCUGCUGGAAAGAAUUUAUAAAAAAAAUACCCAAUUAAAUAAAUUCAGCAAAAUAAUUCCAAACAUCACCAGCCCUUCACAAAACCACUGACAGUCACUCCAGGCUUCCACAUCCACUUCAUCACAUAAAACAAAAAUGUAGGUAACAGAGAAGGGAAGGAGAAAACUGGAGGUGAAGAGAACUGCUAUUAAAAAAACCUGUUCAUCAUACAAUAUGAACAUCAUGGAGGAAUAAUUUUAAGUAACUAACUCAAUUUAAUAGGACAGUUGUUCAGUGAAUAAUUACUUCAUUAUCUCAUGAUAAAAUAAAAGAUCUAACUUUAAAAUGCAUAGAAUCCUUCCAAUGACAACUUCUAUCACAGCCAGGCAGUCUACAGCUCUUACAGAAAAAGCAGAGCUGCUCAGAAACAUUUCCAAUGUCUGCAGACAUUUUAAACCAGAGUAUGGUUUCCAUUUUGCUCUUCCCAUUGUUGCUUUGUAUUUUUUAAAAGUGUAAAAACUACCAAAUAUGCAAUUUUGCAAAAUAACCCUUUAUUUCAUAUGGCUCCAUUAUUUCCAAAAAAAUACAGAACCCCAGAUGUAUAAUUGUUUUGUGUGAUUGUAUCAGAUCACCACAAAAUCUUCAGCUGACUGUCAAGAGAAUGCAUCCAACCCUGGGCUCGUGGUUUGGAAAUCCCAGUUUUAGGUACCUUUGGUCCCAAAAUGUAUGUCAAGGCAAAGCGGAGCAGCUGAAUCCUGUCACACACAGUGAUCGGUAUCUGUUAUUAUCGUGUACAAACAGGUGAGAAAAGUUAACAGCACUUUAUGGCAGUGUCACACAAAGAAAAGUUACAUCAUCUGCAAACCAAGUGAACAAGGAACAGUACCACAGUGAUCGCUUUAUUUGUACUGCAAGAAGAUGCACCUUAUUUGUGACGCUGGGGGAGGAGGGAGAGGGAAGCUUUUAAUUUUCCAGGAAAUCAAGGUAAACUGAAAUUUCAGUUUUCAACAUCUGGUGACAGCAACUUUAAAAAGGGGAAAAAAAUAAAAAAGAAGAAGAAAAAGAGAUGCCACUGUUGCAUGAUUCAACAGAAGCACACGUGGAACCCAAGUGAGACUGAAAUGACGGCGCACUCACCCGAGGGCACUGAAGAAACUGCUUGGUGUGGAUGGACAGGUGCUCUUCACAUCAUGGGAUUCACAGAGCAGCAAAGCUAAACCGUGAGGACCGACACAACUUCAACUGUAACAACUUCUUUAUGAACAAUUAAACAUAGAAACGUGAAGAUGUUUUGUGGGCAACCCUGGCAGAGAACUAUCUUUAUUCUUAUUAUUCUCAUUUGCAAUGCACUCAAAUUGCUCUGUUCUCACUUCUGUGUGCAACAGCUUUCAGUUAGAAUUUUUUCUGUGAAUUUUUCAUUUUUCAUCAUUUUACCAUUAUUUUUCCCCCAACAGAAAUUCAAUGUGAUAUUAAUUUGUGAUCAGCUGUAUGGUUCAUUCAUGUUUCUAUCAAAACACAUUUUGAACUCUCCAGAGGAGGAAACCCACGGAUGGUGCAGCAAAAUGCCCAUUACAUCCAGAACUGCAGCCAACUGCCAGAAGGUAGAACCGAACUGCAGCAGACAGGAAUUCCUGUUUUACAGACUCUCCUGCUAAGCUCCAGACAGUCUGCACCAGCAUGGUAUUUUUAGCACUGAAUCCCCUACAUAUUGCAUCCAUUUUACAUUUUUCCCUUCAUAGCAAAACUUAUUUUAUCCAAUUUAUUAUCUUUCAUGAAGCAGCAUCCAGGAUCAUGCUGGGAGGCUCCUUUGGAGUUGUUUUCCAAGAGUUUCAUUCCAGUGUCACCCACAGCAACUUGGCCAUACGGAGCUGUGGUGUCAGGCGCUCUUCACGUUUCCAAGUGCAGGCAGGAGAGAAGCCUGGGACCUGACACUAUUUCCACACCCUACUGAAACAACAACCAGUGCUUGGAAACAAAUGGCUUGUAAGAGUAAGAACUACAGAGGAACAAAGUGAAAAUGAACAGGACCAGAUCAAUCAAACACUCGUCUGAAACAUUACUGUGCAGUGCUAAUUUCUUGAGGCAGCACGUGAACACUUGUUAUUGACUGCAACCCACUGGGAAAAAUACUGCAUUUGACAAAACAAGAUGCUCUUACAUGGAGUUCACAAGGUCUAUAAGGAACAAUCUUCUGAUGUGAGUAACUGCUGUGCUUUCUGCUUAUAUAAACUUCCCUUUUUGCAUCAGUUCAGUCUGUCCUAGCUCAAAAUAAAAUGAGCUGUACUCUGGGCAUCUCUCUGGUUCUGAUCAAACUACAUGGGGGAGGACAGCAAGUGAGUAGCUUGCCACCUGCCUGUUGGAGUUGAAAGAGUCAGUCCCAUGGGCAGCAGAAAUAACCACUUCCUCAUCACAGUGCUGGGCUGCCCCAACACCCCUUGUCAAAUGGCAGAUUAAAUACAUUCAUUCCUUCAGCUGAACUUUAGCAAGAACAACAUGAAACAACAAAUACUCCAUGGACUCCCUCCCUAUUAUAGCAUAUCUACCUCAUUUUAAUGGUUACACCAGAAUUUAGGUGCAGAGAUGGUAUUUAUAAACAGCAUCUUGCCUUAAACAUGAAGCUACUGGCAACCACUGUACUUUGCCUCCAGCCUGCUGUGGAGUCAGGGAAGCAACACUCACUUCAGGGGACCUUACUGUGGUGUCACCUUGCGUCCAUCCCCACUGAGCAACCCCUGCUGCAUGGGGAGGGGCAGGGAUGGCAUAUUUGACAAAGUAUUUUUCCACAAAGCCAGGGAAAUUGGCACUGCCUCAUGUUUUGCUAUGCUCUUUGCCCCCCCGAAAGGGAACACUGGCAAGGUUUUGUAUUCUGCACACCACCUCCUGUGAUUCAUGUAGCAGCAGAGGGAGACAGAAGGGGAAUCAAUAUUGCUAGCUCAGAGCCAAAACCACUGAGGGCUUACUUUGUUCUCAACAAAAUUACUCUGUAGAAGGCAGUAUGCCAACAUCUGAAGUUCUGGCUACCCUGCCUGUAUUUAGAGAGAUUAGUUUUAUUUUAGGAACCGUUCUCGCAAAUCUGUGCAUAAUCACAUAAACACAAUGCCAACCAGACCUGCCAGAAGUAAGGCUGUACAUCACAGACAUCCUUUCAAAAGGAUCCUGCACUACACAUCUGAAAGUGUCUUCUGUUCCCAUCUGCCCUUCAGUUCAAACCAUCCUUAUUCUAGUAAGACUUUAGCAGUAAGAUUUUAGUGGUGAGCUAAUUAAUACUGCCCUCCAUGUAGUUAUUCAGAAUAUUUACCAUACUUAUUUUUUCAGUAGUAUCUUCCUACAGAUUUAUGAUAGCAAUUAUACCUAUUUCUUCUUUUUAUGAAACUAGUUUUUCUUCUAUUACUUUUUAGCAAAACAUUAAGAUGGUUGGCAUUUAAUUAUUUAAACUCUCCCACAAGUAUAUUUAGCACUGUUGCAACUAGCAGGGAGAAAAAGGCCUCUAUAAACCACUCCAAGGUCACCUUGGUUGGACUGCAGUAUACAAAAUACAAAGGUGGCUAAAAAUCACCAGCAGCACCAGCAGACCUUCAGAAACAGCUAGAAUUGCUCUGCCUUCCAAUGCAUGACAAACAAAGCUUCCCUCUGUUCCCUAAGUUUUAUGUCUUUCCUUCACUGACUUCUCACCUUUGAAAGUGCAUUUUCAAAACUGAUGAUGAGGGUUUAGCUGCAUUCUGAACAAAAAGGGAAUUUAACCGAGUGACUUUGUAUUUUCCAAGUUUCCCUAUAACACGAGACACUGGUAGCACAUGGAACUUGGAGAGCUGAUGGCAAGACCACAGCAGGGAUGGGCUGAUUCAUCCCACGUGGACAGCUUUUAAUCACACUGUGAUGCUGCAAUGCUUGUUUGAGGACCAGUGCCUCAGAGGACAGACCUGACACCAGAUCUUAUUUGGGUGUUGGGUUUGGAUCAAUGUGUCUGCUACAACAACUGCUGACUGCGUAGCCACAAAGACACCUCCACCAGCUCUGCUGAGGAUCUCUGACUCCAGCACAAUGAGCUGCAAUAAAGUACACGUUGUGCAAAUGAGGAAUCUCUACCACACCAAUGCUGUACACACUACUGAAGAGACAAGUUGCUGAAUUUUCUGAGCUCUAACUACAAUGCCAAGAAAUACUUGUGGUGACAAAGCUUUCUUGUCACAGACAUUCUUCUACGGUGGUUGUACGAUUGCACCUUUUGUCCAAAUGCUGAAUUUGCUUAAGUGUGGGUGAGAGUAUACAUUUUUAAAAAUACAGACAAUUCUUAAAAUAAUACAUCAUCAGGUCACUAUGUUACUGAUCUUCACUUUUAGUGGAAUUUAAAAUUCCCCCAAAGAGAGGUAAAAGUCCAUCCAGUAUUUUCCUUUACUCUUGAAUAUUCACAUUUGCACAUAAAACAUGAUACUCAUUUGCAAGAGCCUGGAUUCCCAUUGUGUCCUCAGGUCCCAUUCCACUUUUAAAAUAGGCAAUGGUACAAAUACUGAAAGAGGCAGUACCACAUCCCUCCUGACAAAAAUGCAAAUGAUUGUAUGGCAACCAGCCACAGGUUACUGAGGGUCAUCUCCCGAGAAAUCGCUUUUGUCUGACCCUGGGGUGGCGGAAAAGCUCCUGCAAGAGAAAAGAAAACACAUUUAAUGCUUUGCACAGGGAUGACAGCCUUAAUGCACCACUUUAUUGCUUCUUUACUGCUUGUCCCAGCAAUGGUAUCCAUACACAAUUAACUGGGUACUGCUCUAUGCUGUUAAAAUUAUGAAAGAUUCUCCAGAAGCCUUCAAGAAAAUAAUAAAAUAAAAACCAACCAAAACACAACCCCUUAAUUACUAAGAACAAUUUUGAUGUCAUUAUAAACUUUAAGCAUCCCUUAGAAGCUGCUUUCACUGUACUCAACCUUUGCAGAGAGAUCCAACUGUCAACUAAGUUUUGUGUUAUUUUUCAAGUUUUAUUAGUAUCUCCAUGAUCAAAUUGAAUGGAUACCACAUUAAACUCUACAGCUGUUUGGUGGCGAUACUGUAUACUGUGAAGAAGCAACACAUUUAUGUUCUUGAGGUUCCCCUUGAAAAUGUAAAGUGUACACACACAACAGCCCUUCUUGAAAGAACAGUUUCCACAUACUGUUUGAACACUCAGUCAUACUGACUAAGGAAACAUUAUAAUUUGCCACAGAACUUUCCAGAAAUUCUUUACUGAAAUCCUUGCUUAGAUGGGAAAGACUGGAAGAGAUUCAUCUGACAAUAAAAUUUGGUCUCUCCAUACUUUGGCUUUUUCUGACUUGCAACACUAAAUUAAAUGUGCCUGAAUACAUCAGAGCUUUAUGAUCAUAAGCAAACUAUUUGCAUAUAUUUACAUCAGCAUAUUAAAUCAUCUGUGUUACACUGUACUGAGAUGCACAAAGACUUGAUUACACAAAGCUCUUUUAUUGCUGUUAAUCCUGAACAGGGGAUAUAAAACUUUGAAUACACCACAGAAGAUGAACUUGCUUCAGCAUUAUGGAGUCUCAACUUCUCUCAGAAGAAAAUGAAAUUAAUGACUCAAAGAGUAAAGAUGCAGCAAUGUCAAUUUUUAAUCCUGGGAACCACACAAUUUGAGCAAUUAGAUACCAUCAGCAUCUUAUCUCUGUGCUCCACAUUUGCAAUCACUGGAGGAACUGCAAUCAAGCAUUUGAGACAAAGCUUUUCUUCCUGCAUGAAUGCUCUUAAUUAAAAAAAAAGUAAACAAGGAAAAAGCCUAAAAACAUCCUUGAUGAGCCCCAUCCACCUCUCCCUGACAGGUACAGAGAGCUGUCUCCUCCCUGUCUCCCUCCCAAGGCAGCUUUGACCCUUCCCGUUCCCAACUGAGACAAGCCAAGCACUUGUAGUUGUUCUUCACAGAAACUACUCCACCAUCCCCUUAAUCUCAGCUCUGAUAAUCUGUCCCUCUUCCCAUUUCAAUUUGUAUUCCUUGACAGGGAUAAUGGACUGUAUGCAGGAUUUCCAGAGGAGGUUUCCAAGCUGGUACAACAAAGAAUGUUUCCAUAGCAUUAAGGAAGCCAUUCCUUACUUUUUUCAUCACCUCACACCACUUGGCUUCUGAGCACAGGGAAUCAGGAGCACAAUGACUUCAGUACACCAUCACUCUUCCAACUGCUAUUAGUUUAUUGUUGGGGCUUUUUCCUUAAUUGGUCCCCAAGUGUUUUUGUCCUGCUAAAUGUAAUCUCACUUGUGUUACUGCAGGCCUCAAGGUUAUCUUGCUGGAGAGUUCAGAGAAAUUAAGAACUUGCCAAUACAAGUUUUCCACUAACUGCCUAAAACAGGAGUCUGUUACCUACAGCUAUUAACUUGAAAUGGUUCUAAUUGUAUAAAUGAAGUGUGUAAAAUGCACCUGUAAAAAAUUAUGGGAUUUUGUUAUUAAUAAGUUGGUAAUUCGUGCUGGACAUGUAGGAUUAUUAAUGUAAUAUAAAAUAAAGCUUUAGGAUCACACCAGCAAAGGGGAGAGGGAGAUUUCCACACAGGACAGCUCGCAGCCGAGGAGGAGGUGCAUCACUAACAUACAAAGAAAACCUAGCCCGCACAGGAGAUGGGCACUCCCCAAUGACAUGAACAAGGAAAUGCCCAGCGAUGAUGGCCCAUGUAGAUGUCCACCUCAGAUAGACAGGACAUCAAGGACAUACAUCUGAAUGAAGGAUUCCGGGAACUGGACACAGAUACACAUCAAUUCCCGGAUGAGGCUUUGUCCAGCACGGGACAGAGAAUAGACACUGCAUGAAUAUGAAGGACUCCAGGAGGGGACAAAGGGACUCUGCUGCAGGCAAGAAAAAGAGUAUAAAAAUCAAACUCUGCCAGUGGUGGUGAACAGGGGGAUUCGGUGCCAUAGAGGCUGGACCACAGUUCACCCACUCCGAUCCCGGGGUCAGCGCUACUUCUUCAUUGUUGGUGGUCAGGACUGUACAUUGGUCACGAAUAAAUUUAAUUUUUAUUUUUAA
Passer domesticus (house sparrow) is the source of this 12563-nucleotide long non-coding RNA. RefSeq lists it as uncharacterized. The transcript is spliced from 11 exons. NCBI's taxonomy places the organism in Eukaryota, Metazoa, Chordata, Aves, Passeriformes, Passeridae. The record is from RefSeq and is a predicted model, not a curated record.